GACGAACGCUGGCGGCGUGCUUAACACAUGCAAGUCGAACGGAAAGGCCCUGCUUUUGUGGGGUGCUCGAGUGGCGAACGGGUGAGUAACACGUGAGUAACCUGCCCUUGACUUUGGGAUAACUUCAGGAAACUGGGGCUAAUACCGGAUAGGAGCUCCUGCUGCAUGGUGGGGGUUGGAAAGUUUCGGCGGUUGGGGAUGGACUCGCGGCUUAUCAGCUUGUUGGUGGGGUAGUGGCUACCAAGGCUUUGAAGGGUAGCCGGCCUUAGAGGGCGACCGGGCACCUUGGGCCUGCGAUACGGCCCAGACUCCUACGGGAGGCAGCAGUGGGGAAUAUUGCACAAUGGGCGGAAGCCUGAUGCAGCAACGCCGCGUGCGGGAUGACGGCCUUCGGGUUGUAAACCGCUUUCGCCUGUGACGAAGCGUGAGUGACGGUAAUGGGUAAAGAAGCACCGGCUAACUACGUG
RNAcentral lists this ribosomal RNA (467 nucleotides) under uncultured bacterium. RNAcentral's name for it is "partial 16S ribosomal RNA". It matches the Rfam family "Bacterial small subunit ribosomal RNA", at positions 28 to 507 of the family's 1533-position model. The record is from RNAcentral.